This 908-nucleotide long non-coding RNA is filed under the name Sorghum bicolor (sorghum). RNAcentral describes it as "long non-coding RNA (SBIC_LNC005109)". Lineage: Eukaryota; Viridiplantae; Streptophyta; Magnoliopsida; Poales; Poaceae. The record is from RNAcentral.
GUAGGGUUGUUGCUAGUAUAAAUAUCCCCUAAGACUCAUUGUAAUCAAAAACUUUGAUAAUUGAAAUACAGAACCCCUUUGUUCAGCUGUGUGCUAACAAAUUCAGAGAGUGAUCUCUACCCCUUUGCUCUUGUGAUUUCCUCGCGGGCAAUUGGUGCUCCUACUCCCUUCAAGGUAUUUCUUGAUUGAUUGUAGACUGUGUUGGUUGGUUCCUUGAGAGUGUGGUUGGACGAAUCCUCGAUUCAGGUUGCCGACAAAGACGGUGGUUGGCUUCGAGUUUUAUUUGCCAGGUUGCACUAGUUAUCGCUACUUGCAGCAAGUUAUCCGGCUAUUCUUCAGCUAGUUAUCGGUGUUCAUCCUACGUCGUGAAGAUCGGGACAACAUGUCGCAUCAUCUAGUAUCAAAGCUUUUGUUACCACGGUAGGAAUUUUAUCCCUAGCUACAUAUAUAUUUUGCUUCGUCCUAUCCACCAAAAAGCUAGAAAAUAUAUUGCUUAGACCUUUGUUUCAAUCUGUUAUUUUAGUGAGUUCAGUUAAGUCGCAGUCCAUUAGAGUCUUUGUUUUAGUUGCUGAUCAUUUAUCCUUCGCGUGUUCUUUGUGCCUCUUUUAUAUCUAAAAAUCCCCACAAAAAAUCUCUAUAGCCUAUAUCAUCCUUUGUGUUAUCUUUGAUCCUAUCAAGUUAUAGUUUCUGGUUGUGCUUUGUUUCUAUCAUCAAGUUUGCAAGUAUCAUAAUCUGAUCCCUGUUUUUAGUUCUAUAUAUAAGAAAAAAAAGUGUGUCAAAAAAAAGAAAAGAAAGGUCAAAAAAAAAUAAAGUGAAAAAAAGUUGAGAAAGGUUCAGAGAGAAAGUCUGAAAUAUUAGUUGGUUUAUGUGCACAAGUGCUAAAAGUUUCAUAUCAAGUUCUGCAACCA